CCCUGCCGCCCCUUCGACAACGCCUGGUGCGCCCGCGCGCCCGCCCAUGGCUGGGAAGGUGCUGUCGCUGCUGCCGCCGUUGCUGCUGGCCGCGGCGGGCCUCGCCGGGCUCCUACUGCUGUGCGUCCCCACUCGAGACAUCUGGGAGCUGCCCGCCCUCAAGUACGGCAUUGUCCUGGACGCGGGCUCUUCGCACACGUCCAUGUUCAUCUACAAGUGGCCUGCAGACAAGGAGAACGACACAGGCAUCGUGGGCCAGCACAGCUCCUGUAAUGUACGCGGAGGGGGCAUCUCCAGCUACGCAGACGACCCUUCCAGGGCUGGCCAGAGUCUCGUUGAAUGCCUGGACCAGGCGCUUCAGGAGGUGCCCAAGGAGAGCCACGUGCACACGCCCCUCUACCUGGGAGCCACGGCAGGCAUGCGCCUGCUCAACCUGACCAGUCCCGAGGCCUCGGCCAAUGUGCUCGCGGCUGUGACCCGGACGCUGACCCGGUAUCCCUUCGAUUUCCGUGGUGCCCACAUCCUCUCGGGCCAGGACGAGGGGGUGUUCGGUUGGGUGACGGCCAACUACCUGCUGGAGAACUUCAUCAAGUAUGGCUGGGUGGGCCGGUGGUUCCGGCCAAGGAAGGGGACGCUGGGGGCCAUGGACCUGGGGGGCGCCUCCACACAGAUCACCUUCGAGACGGCCAGCCCAGCCGAGGAUCCAGCCAAUGAGGUCCGGCUGCGGCUCUAUGGCCAGCACUACUGCGUCUACACCCACAGCUUCCUCUGCUAUGGCCGUGACCAGGUCCUCCGGAGGCUGCUGGCUGGUGCACUCCAGACCCACGGCUUCCACCCUUGCUGGCCAAGGGGCUAUUCUACCCAAGUGCUGCUUCAGGACGUGUAUGAGUCUCCGUGUACCGCGGCCCAGCGGCCCCAGACCUUCAACAGCAGCACCCGGGUGGGCCUGGCAGGGAGCAGCGACCCUGCCCUCUGCCGUGGCCUCAUCUUAGGACUCUUCAAUUUCUCCUCCUGCCGCUUCUCCCGAUGUUCCUUUAAUGGCAUCUUCCAGCCCCCAGUGGCGGGGAACUUCAUGGCCUUCUCUGCUUUCUUCUACACCGUGGACUUCCUAAGGUCUGUGAUGGGGCUUCCCGUGGCAACCCUGCAGCAGCUGGAGACAGCCGUAGUCGCCGUCUGCAACCAGACAUGGAGUCAGCUGCAGGCUAAGGCUCCAGGGCAGCGGGCCCGCCUGCCCGACUACUGCGCGGGGGCCAUGUUCGUGCAGCAGCUGCUGAGCCGCGGCUACGGCUUCGACGAGCGCGCCUUCGGAGGGGUGACCUUCCAGAGCAAGGCCGGGGACACCGCGGUCGGCUGGGCGCUCGGCUACAUGCUCAACCUGACCAACCUGAUCCCCGCCGAGCCGCCGGAGCUGCGCAAGGGCACAGACUUCGGGUCCUGGGUCGCGCUUCUCCUGCUCUUCGCCGCCAUGCUUCUGGCCGCCGUGGUUCUGCUGCUGCGCCAGGCGCGCUCGGCCGGGGCGUCGAGCGCCAUCUAGCGGCGGGCCGGAUCCCGGCCCCUCGUUCCACCCGUGACGCCUCCGCCCCCAACGCUGCUCCGGCCGAGACGGGGGCCGGGCCCACGGGGGACCGGGGUGGGCGAAGGGAGCCACCUCCGGCCCCUGCCUGCCUGCUGCAGCCUUCUCCAGCCUCCAAGCAUGGGAAGGCAUGGUCUUGCCUGUGUCUCCCUGCCCCCAGCCUUUCUAGAAAGUGAGUGCAGACACCAUUUCUGUCUGGUCAUUGCCCUGAGGGCAGCGCUUGCUCUGGGGUUUUGAGCCAUUUCACGAGCCCGAGGGCAGCCAGCCCUACCUUUGGGAUUGUGACGCAAAGGGCUGAGAAGACGCAUCGGGUGUGGAGGCUCACCCCUGUUCUCUCGGCAAGAUGCCGCUGUCUGUCCUGGGAGCCUGGACUGCGCCCUGAAGAGGCGGGCACGGUGCCCCCCGGGCGCGCACGUCUGUGGGCCCUGCCUUCAGCCCUUCCAGGAAGAUC
Leopardus geoffroyi (Geoffroy's cat) is the source of this 2024-nucleotide RNA transcript. It is a transcript of the gene named ectonucleoside triphosphate diphosphohydrolase 2, with no coding region annotated. The record is from RefSeq and is a predicted model, not a curated record. The transcript is spliced from 11 exons. Lineage: Eukaryota; Metazoa; Chordata; Mammalia; Carnivora; Felidae.